UAGUUCCUACGGGGCGCAGCAGUAGGGAAUCUUCCACAAUGGACGAAAGUCUGAUGGAGCAACGCCGCGUGAGUGAAGAAGGGUUUCGGCUCGUAAAGCUCUGUUGGUAGUGAAGAAAGAUAGAGGUAGUAACUGGCCUUUAUUUUACGGUAAUUUCUUAGAAAGUCACGGCUAACUACGUUCCAGCAGCCGCGGUAAUACGUAGGUUGCAAGCGUUGGCCGGGUUUAUUUGGCGUAAAUC
RNAcentral lists this ribosomal RNA (241 nucleotides) under uncultured bacterium. RNAcentral's name for it is "partial 16S ribosomal RNA". It matches the Rfam family "Bacterial small subunit ribosomal RNA", at positions 333 to 566 of the family's 1533-position model. The record is from RNAcentral.